GGCCGCGGUAUACUAACCGUGCAAAGGUAGCGCAAUCACUUGUUCUCUAAAUAAGGACCAGUAUGAAUGGCAUCAUGAGAAUCAACUUGUCUCUCAUAAUAAUUCUAUGAAACUGAUCUUCCAGUACAAAAGCUGGAAUACACACAUAAGACGAGAAGACCCUGUGGAACUUCACAGUUUUCAGUUGGGGCGACUUUGGAGACAAACAAAACCUCCAAACAGACCCAAUAAAAUUGACUAACGAACCAAGUUACCCCAGGGAUAACAGCGCAAUCUUCUUCAAGAGUCCCUAUCGACAAGAGGGUUUACGACCUCGAUGUUGGAUCAGGAUACCCAAAUAGUGCAGCAGCUAUUAACGAGUUCGUUUGUUCAACGAUUAAAAUCCUACGUGAUCU
RNAcentral lists this ribosomal RNA (395 nucleotides) under Geocalamus acutus. Its description in RNAcentral is "partial 16S ribosomal RNA". It matches the Rfam family "Bacterial large subunit ribosomal RNA", at positions 1929 to 2606 of the family's 2925-position model. The record is from RNAcentral. Lineage: Eukaryota; Metazoa; Chordata; Lepidosauria; Squamata; Amphisbaenidae.